Molecule: long non-coding RNA, 844 nt
Organism: Nicotiana tabacum (common tobacco)
Lineage: Eukaryota; Viridiplantae; Streptophyta; Magnoliopsida; Solanales; Solanaceae
Source: RefSeq, a predicted model, not a curated record
GACAAACUCUUCGCAUUCAUAGAAGGUUUGAAACCUCAUGCCCGUAUGGAACUACAGCGACAACGGGUAGACACCCUGCCCAAGGCCAUUCAAGCUGCAGAAUGCCUUGGCGACUAUCAUUUGGGAACUCAGAACGACAGGCCCCAGCCGUCUGUCCGAGGGGGAUUCAACGGGCACCAUCCCAGCAAUGGUGGCCCAAGCAAAAGUGGGGGAGAUCGGAGUGCAUCCAAAACUAAGACUCCUCCCUCUAACAGCAACAGUGCUGCAUCCAUCAACAAAAGGCGUUGCGUAACAGUUAUUAUGUUUAAAUUGUCUAUUGUGCCCGUUUUUGCUGUUAACGUGUUCUGAUCUGGAGUGGAGUCCAAAGCUACUUCGCUACCGUGUUACGAUGUCAAUCACCACUGCGCUCUCUUGGUUAAUCUGUUUUCUCUCUCCUCACGCCAACGUUCAAAGUUUUGUUAUUCCAAGAUAUCUCACAGUAAUAAGUUUGUGAAGAAAUGUCUUCUGACUGAAGGAACAAACAUAUACAGAAGAUACAAAGAGGAAUCCUUAGUGGAAAAGCUUAUUGCAGAAGCAUCCGUAGGAGAAAAUUGCUGUGUUAUUAUAUUCAUCAUCGAUGUCUGAUUCAUAUCAGCAGAUACUGCUGGAAGACCAUAUGACUUCGGCAUUGAAGCUUCUGUAUUUGUUGGUUUGUACAUUCAAAGCAUUCCAUUGACUUGAAAUAACAAAAUAUUAGAGAAAUAGAUGGCUUAUAAAGAGUAACAUUUUUGUGAUAACUUUAUAAUCUUCUAUUUCUCUUUUGGACACAAGCUCAUUCCUUGCUGAUAUUGUCACCAUACCUCAA